This 225-nucleotide ribosomal RNA is filed under the name uncultured bacterium. Its description in RNAcentral is "partial 16S ribosomal RNA". It matches the Rfam family "Bacterial small subunit ribosomal RNA", at positions 114 to 334 of the family's 1533-position model. The record is from RNAcentral.
CGCGUGAGGAACCUGCCUCUUAGCGGGGGGUAACUAUUGGAAACGAUAGCUAAUACCGCAUAAAAGUCGAUAUCGCAUGAUAUUGAUUUGAAAGGUGCAAUUGCAUCACUAAGAGAUGGACCUGCGUUGUAUUAGCUAGUUGGUGAGGUAACGGCCUACCAAGCCGACGAUCAGUAGCCGACCUGAGAGGGUGACCGGCCACAUUGGGACUGAGACACGGCCCAA